UCAAGCUAGAAAGGGCUGACGGGGGAUACCUAGGCACCUAGAGGCGAAGAAGGACGCGGUUACCGGCGAAACGCUCCGGGGAGCUGGAAGCAAGCGACGAUCCGGAGGUAUCCGAAUGGGGCAACCCGAAAGACGGCUGAGUGAAUUCAUAGCUCAGCACGAGCGAACCCAGCGAACUGAAACAUCUUAGUAGCUGGAGGAAAAGAAAGCAAAAGCGAUUCCCCAAGUAGUGGUGAGCGAAAGGGGAAGAGCCUAAACCAAAUGGCAAGCCAUUUGGGGUUGUGGGACAGCCACCAGGGAUGGGAAAAGUUAGGCGAAGUAGCUGAGACCUACACCAGAGAAGGUGAGAGUCCUGUAGCCGACAACCGGACCCACCCGGCUGGAUCCCGAGUAACUUGGUGCCCGUGGAACACCAAGUGAAUCAGCGAGGACCACCUCGUAAGGCUAAAUACUCCUAGGUGACCGAUAGCGAACCAGUACCGUGAGGGAAAGGUGAAAAGAACCCCGGAAGGGGAGUGAAAGAGAACCUGAAACCGUCAGCCUACAAGCAGCGGGAGGACGAUUGAACGUCUGACCGUGUGCCUGUUGAAGAAUGUGCCGGCGAGUUAUCUCUAGCGGCCGGUUAAGGUGUACAGCACCGGAGCCCCAGCGAAAGCGAGUCCGAACAGGGCGUCAGUCGCUAGGGAUAGACCCGAACCCGGGUGAUCUAACCAUGUCCAGGAUGAAGCUUGGGUAAUACCAAGUGGAGGUCCGCACCGACCAAUGUUGCAAAAUUGGCGGAUGAGAUGUGGUUAGGGGUGAAAUGCCAAUCGAACCCGGAGCUAUCUGGUUCUCCCCGAAAUGCGUUUAGGCGCAGCGGUGGUAAAAACACGACCGGGGUAAAGCACUGUUUCGGUGCGGGCUGCGAGAGCGGUACCAAAUCGAGACAAACUCGGAAUACGGUCGUGGAUGCCACUAGUAAGACGGUGUGGGAUAAGCUUCAUCGUCAAGAGGGAAACAGCCCAGACCGCCAGCUAAGGUCCCCAAAUGAUGGCUAAGUGACAAAGGAUGUGGGAGUGCUGAGACAACCAGGAGGUUGGCUUAGAAGCAGCCAUCCUUGAAAGAGUGCGUAAUAGCUCACUGGUCAAGCGCUCUUGCGCCGAAAAUGAAAGGGGCUAAGUCAUCUACCGAAGCUGCGGGCUGCAAGUCAGCGGUAGGGGAGCGUUCCCGUGCCCGAGAAGUGCUAGCGCAAGCAGGUAUGGAGGCGCGGGAAGUGAGAAUGUCGGCUUAAGUAGCGAAAACUAGGGCGAGAAUCCCUAGCCCCGAAACCCCAAGGGUUCCUCCGGAAGGUUCGUCCGCGGAGGGUCAGUCAGGACCUAAGGCGAGGCCGAAAGGCGUAGUCGAUGGACAACCGGUCAACAUUCCGGUACCGUGUUGGGUUGGUGCAGGGGGACGAAGAAGGCUAGGUCAGCCGGGAGAUGGUUACCGGUCCAAGCGUACGAGGCGAAGAGGAGCGGCGAAAACGUUCCGAGCUGAGGCGCGAUGGGGAGCUCCUACGGGAGCGAAGUGGCUGAGGUCCCGCUUCCAAGAAAAGCCCUACCCACCACAAAUCCAACAUGCCUGUACCCGAAACCGACACAGGUGGGGCGGUAGAGUAUACCAAGGGGCGCGAGCGAACUCUCUCUAAGGAACUCGGCAAAAUGACCCCGUAACUUCGGGAGAAGGGGUGCCUCCGAGAGGAGGUCGCAGUAAAGAGGCCCAGGCGACUGUUUACCAAAAACACAGGUCUCCGCUAAGUCGAAAGACGACGUAUGGGGGCUGACGCCUGCCCAGUGCCGGAAGGUUAAGGGCGUCAGUUAGCCCUUUAGGGUGAAGCUGACCACCGAAGCCCCGGUGAACGGCGGCCGUAACUAUAACGGUCCUAAGGUAGCGAAAUUCCUUGUCGGGUAAGUUCCGACCCGCACGAAAGGCGAAACGAUCUGGGCGCUGUCUCGGAGAGAGGCUCGGCGAAAUAGGAAUGUCUGUGAAGAUACGGACUGCCUGCACCAGGACAGAAAGACCCUAUGAAGCUUUACUGUAGCCUGGAAUUGGGUUCGGGCUUCACUUGCGCAGGAUAGGUGGGAGGCGAAGAAGGUUUCCCUGUGGGGAGACUGGAGCCAUCCUUGAGAUACCACUCUGGUGAGGCCGGAAUUCUAACCUUCACCCGUGAGCCGGGGAAGGAACAGUUUCAGGGGGGCAGUUUGACUGGGGCGGUCGCCUCCUAAAAGGUAACGGAGGCGCGCCAAGGUUCCCUCAGGCUGGUUGGAAAUCAGCCGUCGAGUGUAAAGGCACAAGGGAGCUUGACUGCGAGAGCGACUCCUCGAGCAGGUAGGAAACUAGGCCUUAGUGAUCCGGCGGCACUAGGUGGAAGGGCCGUCGCUCAACGGAUAAAAGUUACUCUAGGGAUAACAGGCUGAUCUCCCCCAAGAGUUCACAUCGACGGGGAGGUUUGGCACCUCGAUGUCGGCUCAUCGCCACCUGGGGCGGAAGUACGUCCCAAGGGUUGGGCUGUUCGCCCAUUAAAGCGGUACGUGAGCUGGGUUCAGAACGUCGUGAGACAGUUCGGUCCAUAUCCGGUGCAGGCGUAAGAGCAUUGAGAGGAGCCUUCCUUAGUACGAGAGGACCGGGAAGGACGCACCGCUGGUGUACCUGUUAUCGUGCCAACGGUAAACGCAGGGUAGCCAAGUGCGGAGCGGAUAACCGCUGAAAGCAUCUAAGUGGGAAGCCCACCUCAAGAUGAGUGCUCUCAUGGCGGCAAGCCAGUAAGGUCACGGGCAGAUGACCCGUUGAUAGGCGUCAGGUGGAAGUGCAGCAAUGCAUUAAGCCGAGACGUACUAACAGACCGAGGGCUUGACCUC
Molecule: ribosomal RNA, 2876 nt
Filed under: Geitlerinema sp. PCC 9228
Lineage: Bacteria; Bacillati; Cyanobacteriota; Cyanophyceae; Geitlerinematales; Geitlerinemataceae
Description: bacterial LSU rRNA
Rfam family: Bacterial large subunit ribosomal RNA
Source: RNAcentral